CCCUUAGAUGUACUGGGCCGCACGCGCGCUACACUGAUGCAUUCAACGAGUUUUACCUUGGCCGAGAGGCCUGGGCAAUCUUUUAAACCUGCAUCGUGAUAGGGAUAGAUUAUUGCAAUUAUUAAUCUUGAACGAGGAAUUCCUAGUAAACGCAAAUCAUCAAUUUGCAUUGAUUACGUCCCUGCCCUUUGUACACACCGCCCGUCGCACCUACCGAUUGAAUGGUCCGGUGAAGCCUCGGGAUUGUGGCCAGUUCACUUUAUUGGGAGUUGGCUGUGAGAACUUGUCUAAACCUUAUCAUUUAGAGGAAGGUGAAGUCGUAACA
This 325-nucleotide ribosomal RNA is filed under the name uncultured eukaryote. RNAcentral describes it as "partial 18S ribosomal RNA". It matches the Rfam family "Eukaryotic small subunit ribosomal RNA", at positions 1470 to 1796 of the family's 1831-position model. The record is from RNAcentral.